AAAUUGAAGAGUUUGAUCAUGGCUCAGAUUGAACGCUGGCGGCAGGCCUAACACAUGCAAGUCGAACGGUAACAGGAAGCAGCUUGCUGCUUCGCUGACGAGUGGCGGACGGGUGAGUAAUGUCUGGGAAACUGCCUGAUGGAGGGGGAUAACUACUGGAAACGGUGGCUAAUACCGCAUAACGUCGCAAGACCAAAGAGGGGGACCUUCGGGCCUCUUGCCAUCAGAUGUGCCCAGAUGGGAUUAGCUUGUUGGUGAGGUAACGGCUCACCAAGGCGACGAUCCCUAGCUGGUCUGAGAGGAUGACCAGCCACACUGGAACUGAGACACGGUCCAGACUCCUACGGGAGGCAGCAGUGGGGAAUAUUGCACAAUGGGCGCAAGCCUGAUGCAGCCAUGCCGCGUGUAUGAAGAAGGCCUUCGGGUUGUAAAGUACUUUCAGCGGGGAGGAAGGUGUUGCGGUUAAUAACCGCAGCAAU
RNAcentral lists this ribosomal RNA (479 nucleotides) under Salmonella enterica. Its description in RNAcentral is "bacterial SSU rRNA". It matches the Rfam family "Bacterial small subunit ribosomal RNA", at positions 1 to 476 of the family's 1533-position model. Lineage: Bacteria; Pseudomonadati; Pseudomonadota; Gammaproteobacteria; Enterobacterales; Enterobacteriaceae. The record is from RNAcentral.